UCAGCUCCACGGACUUGGUGA
Molecule: microRNA, 21 nt
Filed under: Brachypodium distachyon (stiff brome)
Lineage: Eukaryota; Viridiplantae; Streptophyta; Magnoliopsida; Poales; Poaceae
Description: bdi-miR9489
Source: miRBase by way of RNAcentral